GGUUGGUGGGGUAAAGGCCUACCAAGGCAACGAUCAGUAGCCGGCCUGAGAGGGUGAACGGCCACAUUGGGACUGAGAUACGGCCCAGACUCCUACGGGAGGCAGCAGUUGAGAAUCUUGCACAAUGGGGGCAACCCUGAUGCAGCGACGCCGCGUGGAUGAUGAAGGCCUUCGGGUUGUAAAGUCCGAUAAGCAGGGAAGAAUAAGUGAGGGGUAAUAUUCCUCAUGAUGACGGUACCUGCCUAAAGCCCCGGCUAACUACGUGCCAGCAGCCGCGGUAAUACGUAUGGGGCGAGCGUUGUUCGGAAUUAUUGGGUGUAAAGGGCGUCUAGGCGGGAGAUUAAGUUAGAUGUGAAAGGCGUGGGCUCAACCCGCGAAUUGCAUCUAAAACUGGUUUUCUUGAGUUCGGGAGAGGAGAGCGGAAUUCUUGGUGUAGCGGUGAAAUGCGUAGAUAUCAAGAAGAACACCAGUGGCGAAGGCGGCUCUCUGGCCUAGAACUGACGCUGAAGCGCGAAAGCGUGGGUAGCGAACGGGAUUAGAUACCCCGGUAGUCCACGCCGUAAACGUUGUAUACUAGGUGUUAGUGGCUUGACU
This 594-nucleotide ribosomal RNA is filed under the name uncultured bacterium. Its description in RNAcentral is "bacterial SSU rRNA". It matches the Rfam family "Bacterial small subunit ribosomal RNA", at positions 247 to 836 of the family's 1533-position model. The record is from RNAcentral.